Molecule: small RNA, 17 nt
Filed under: Arabidopsis thaliana (thale cress)
Lineage: Eukaryota; Viridiplantae; Streptophyta; Magnoliopsida; Brassicales; Brassicaceae
Description: ATSL290080
Source: RNAcentral
UUUUUUUGUAUUUUUUU